AGACGAAUCUCCAUUACAGGUAAUUUUAAUGCCGAAGAAGACGAAACCGGAAGUAACGAACAGGUGUCGGUUAAUUAACCUGAUUUAUGUUAAGUUAGCAACGUAACUUCGGUCUCAAGUUAACGUUGUUUUUCCUAAAAUGAACUCGCGACUCUAUGAAGAGGAAAUAAAUAAAUGAAUGUAGAUAUCGAGAGUUAUGUCCAGGUGGAGAACAUGCUGAUGGAUCAGAACAACCAGAGCAGCCUCAGGACGACACCACAGACAUUAACCUGGACGAGAUGAUCUGAGCGGAAAGAUUCAGGUUGAGAAAUCCCUCCUGAGAAAAACUAAAUGUUAACCAGAAAUCCCGAUGAACAACACUAAACACAUAAAGAUAAACUGUACAGUGAAGAAGCACCUUAGAAAUCAGGUCCCUGCUCUUCUCCAGUGUAAAAGCUCCUCCUCAUAUUAGUACAUGUUUUCAUAUGAUGUCACUGUUUGUUCUCUAAGUAGCUGAGUUUUCAUUCAUCUUUCUGUAUUUUUUGUUGUUACCUCUGGAGGAAAUAAGGAUCUGCAGCAUAAAGUGAUAAACUCCAUUGUUUCACUUAGUUGAAUCUGAAAUAUUUUCUUAAUCAUAUUUUUCAUAAAUGUGAAAUUUUUCCUUGUUGAGUUCUUGAAGCAUUUGAUGCUGUAACUAAUUAGAUGGUGUGUGUGAACUCUUGUUCCUGCAGAGAAAAAGCUGCUGGAUGUGUUUCUGUGUUUAUGUUGCUUUAAAGUUAAUAAUGUUGAGAUUCAGGAAUCUGUCAAGUGAAGAAAAGAUUUAAUUCGUAGAUGAAAUUCUGAAAAUGUUUCUUCUGCUAAUGUGAAUUUAAAAGUUAAACUAAAGAUCUCCAGAUGAAUUCAAAGAGCUGUGGCUGUUAGAAGGUUCAGACAUUUGGAGGUGGAGGGUUAGUGGCUGUAAAAACACUGAGAGACUGUGUCUUCAGUCUUCAGCUGCUUCACUGGUCCAACACUCAAAGCUUCUCCAGAGUCCAGAGGAGAGUCUGAGGUUGAGAGUCUUCAGGUUGAGGGAGUCACUGACUGAACGGCUCAGUGAGUCGGGAGUUGAAUCAAGAGCUGAACGACUCCUUGGAGGGGCGGAGUCUGUGGGAGGCGGAGCCAACUUUUUUAUUUUUUCUAAAAUCUGAAAAAAAUCCCCAAAAGGAAACAGACCAGCACCUCGGCAGAAGAAGUGGCAUGAUCUAUAUCUGAAGCCUUCCACUUCGCUCCCUGUCUCAGUGCAUCCAGGAACCUCAUGUACAGCAGCCAAGCAGCCAGGGCCUUCACCUGCUGAGACGCUAAAGCCAGGACUCUACCUGCAGGUUCACCACCAAAGGAUGUCUCCUCAGCUAGUGGUGAACCUUGGCAUCAACCUCUGAUGUAUCCAGCCCCAUCACAAGCCCCACGAAAAGAAAAGUGUCACCACCUGGACACACACUGUUUCUCCUGUGUCUCUUCCUCCUUCUCCUGUUCCUGUAUCAAGCUUCUUCCAUUCUGCCUCCACUGCUACAGCUGAACCCCCUCUGCUCCUCUCACCUUGCCAUUGCCUAAAAAUGUGGGGAUCGCACCUGUUUCAGCCCACAAAGCUGCUGAAGACCAUACAUUUCAGCAGCCCUGUGGAAAGACCAGCGUCUUUUCAAAGACCUGAAACUGUGGUAUGAUCCACCAGAGUCAUCCCUCAUAUACCAUCAGGUCCUCACUCCUGAGCGCUUCUUCCACCACUAUUUGUUACAUUUCAGUGACUGUCUUAAUUUCUUUCUGCAAAAAUGCAAACUCACUUAUAGAAAACGAUAAAAUUGUUGCAGUACUUCAUUCAGAAAUAUUAAAAUGACUAUAAAAGUUUA
Molecule: long non-coding RNA, 1862 nt
Organism: Mugil cephalus (flathead mullet)
Lineage: Eukaryota; Metazoa; Chordata; Actinopteri; Mugiliformes; Mugilidae
Exons: 5
Source: RefSeq, a predicted model, not a curated record